Molecule: transfer RNA, 540 nt
Filed under: uncultured cyanobacterium
Lineage: Bacteria; Bacillati; Cyanobacteriota
Description: partial 16S-23S ribosomal RNA intergenic spacer
Rfam family: tRNA (bases 209-281)
Source: RNAcentral
CAGGGAGACAACAAAAUGUUAAAUAUUAAUUUUGUCACCUUAGGUCGAUCGGUAUCUCACAUCCUUAAUUUAUUAAGGAUUUUAUUUCCUAAGUUUUUCUAGGUCACACCCAUUAUUUUCCUGGGCCAUUAGCUCAGGUGGUUAGAGCGCACCCCUGAUAAGGGUGAGGUCCCUGGUUCAAGUCCAGGAUGGCCCAUAUCUCUAUGUUGGGGGUAUAGCUCAGUUGGUAGAGCGCCUGCUUUGCAAGCAGGAUGUCAGCGGUUCGAGUCCGCUUACCUCCACUGAUUACCACCUCUUCCAUAAUUUAUAGAAGGGAAAUGUUUUGAGGUGUGAUCAAAUUCUGAACGAAUCUAGCUUCCUAAUCAAACUUAUUAAGAUGCUGGACUCAUUGAAUUAAAUUCAUUGUUUUCAGAGAACCUUGACAACUGCAUAGAUUAUUUUUAAAGACAAUAAGCAUCUUGAAUGAUGCAGAUUUAUUAUUUGUGCUAAUGCAUUAAUAACAAUUCUAUUGAGCUGAUGCUUCAAUUAUUUGAAGUUAUU